GAUGAACGCUGGCGGCGUGCUUAACACAUGCAAGUCGAACGGAACUACUUUAAUGAGAUUCUUCGGAAAGGAUUUGAUUAGUUAGUGGCGGACGGGUGAGUAACGCGUGGGUAACCUGCCUCAUACAGGGGGAUAACAGUUGGAAACGACUGUUAAUACCGCAUAAGCGCACAGCAUCGCAUGAUGCAGUGUGAAAAACUCCGGUGGUAUGAGAUGGACCCGCGUCUGAUUAGCUAGUUGGUGAGGUAACGGCCCACCCAAGGCGACGAUCAGUAGCCGGCCUGAGAGGGUGAACGGCCACAUUGGGACUGAGACACGGCCCAAACUCCUACGGGAGGCAGCAGUGGGGAAUAUUGCACAAUGGGGGAAACCCUGAUGCAGCGACGCCGCGUGAGCGAAGAAGUAUUUCGGUAUGUAAAGCUCUAUCAGCAGGGAAGAAAAUGACGGUACCUGACUAAGAAGCCCCGGCUAACUACGUG
This 479-nucleotide ribosomal RNA is filed under the name uncultured bacterium. RNAcentral describes it as "bacterial SSU rRNA". It matches the Rfam family "Bacterial small subunit ribosomal RNA", at positions 28 to 507 of the family's 1533-position model. The record is from RNAcentral.